UACGGAAGGCAGCAGUGGGGAAUAUUGCACAAUGGGCGCAAGCCUGAUGCAGCCAUGCCGCGUGUAUGAAGAAGGCCUUCGGGUUGUAAAGUACUUUCAGCGGGGAGGAAGGCGAUGCGGUUAAUAACCGCGUCGAUUGACGUUACCCGCAGAAGAAGCACCGGCUAACUCCGUGCCAGCAGCCGCGGUAAUACGGAGGGUGCAAGCGUUAAUCGGAAUUACUGGGCGUAAAGCGCACGCAGGCGGUCUGUUAAGUCAGAUGUGAAAUCCCCGGGCUUAACCUGGGAACUGCAUUUUGAAACUGGCAGGCUUGAGUCUUGUAGAGGGGGUAGAAUUCCAGGUGUAGCGGUGAAAUGCGUAGAGAUCUGGAGGAAUACCGGUGGCGAAGGCGGCCCCUGGGACAAAGCUGACGCUCAGGUGCGAAAGCGUGGGGAGCAAACAGGGAUUAGGAUACC
This 455-nucleotide ribosomal RNA is filed under the name uncultured bacterium. RNAcentral's name for it is "bacterial SSU rRNA". It matches the Rfam family "Bacterial small subunit ribosomal RNA", at positions 340 to 786 of the family's 1533-position model. The record is from RNAcentral.